UACAGAGGGUGCAAGCGUUACUCGGAAUUACUGGGCGUAAAGCGUGCGUAGUCGGUUAUUUAAGUCGGGCGUGAAAGCCCCGGGCUCAACCUGGGAAUUGCGUUCGAUACUGGAUAGCUAGAGUUCGGCAGAGGGAAGCGGAAUUUCGGGUGUAGCGGUGAAAUGCGUAGAUAUCCGAAGGAACAUCAGUGGCGAAAGCGGCUUCCUGGACCAGAACUGACGAUCAGGCACGAAAGCGUGGGGAGCAAACAGG
Molecule: ribosomal RNA, 253 nt
Filed under: uncultured bacterium
Lineage: Bacteria
Description: partial 16S ribosomal RNA
Rfam family: Bacterial small subunit ribosomal RNA
Source: RNAcentral